GAUGGACCGUUGAAGCCACAGCAACAGGUCAAAUAUAUGUCUUGAAUGUCAUUUCCUUAAGCGAUUUUAGGGUCAAAACUUCCAGAAUUUGCCAUUGUACCAAUAACCUCAAUAAAAAAGAAAAAGAAAAAAAAGAAACAAGCUGGUCAACAGCAAAACAAAAGAAAACAAUCAUAAUGCUGCCCCAGAGGACAUCUAAAGCAAAAGUGAAAGGUAACAUAUCUAAAAUCACUUUGAAAAGCUAGGAAAUACUAUGUCAGGGUAGUGUGUUAUUAAAACAAAAGCAUUUGACUUAGAAAAUCUACAGGCCCUAAUGCACACGAUUGUUGAAAUGAAUCUGGCUUUAUGGUGUUUGGAUAACAACAGUG
This 368-nucleotide long non-coding RNA is filed under the name Fukomys damarensis (Damara mole-rat). Its description in RNAcentral is "lncRNA (ENSFDAG00000028726.1)". Lineage: Eukaryota; Metazoa; Chordata; Mammalia; Rodentia; Bathyergidae. The record is from RNAcentral.